Molecule: RNase P RNA, 433 nt
Filed under: candidate division WS1 bacterium
Lineage: Bacteria; Bacillati
Description: RNase P RNA component class A
Rfam family: Bacterial RNase P class A
About the family: Ribonuclease P (RNase P) is a ubiquitous endoribonuclease, found in archaea, bacteria and eukarya as well as chloroplasts and mitochondria. Its best characterised activity is the generation of mature 5'-ends of tRNAs by cleaving the 5'-leader elements of precursor-tRNAs. Cellular RNase Ps are ribonucleoproteins.
Source: RNAcentral
AGAGUGGGUCGCGCAGCCGCGCCGGCUUGUGGCCGGUGAGGAAAGUCCGAACUCCGCAGGGCGGAACGCCGGCGAAAUGCCGGGCGGGGUAACCCGACGGAAAGUGGCGCAGAAACAUACCGCCGGAGGCGGCUUAGCCGCAAGCCCGAGGCAGGUGGGGCGUCUCAUGAGGACGCUGCUGCCGCCCGCGGGUUCCGGUAAGGGUGAAAUGGUGAGGUAAGAGCUCACCAGCGUCGCGGAGACGCGGCGGCUGGCCAAACCCCGUUUGGAGCAAGGCCUAAUAGGGAAGCUUCGCGCGCAAGCGUGAAGGGGGCAGCCCGUCCCUUGACUUCCGGGUAGGCCGCAGGAGAGACGUGGUAACGCGUCUCCCAGAGAAAUGGCUGCGAUCCGGGCUUCCCGGACACAGAAUUCGGCUUAUAGACCCACUCUCGCC